RNAcentral lists this ribosomal RNA (468 nucleotides) under uncultured bacterium. RNAcentral's name for it is "partial 16S ribosomal RNA". It matches the Rfam family "Bacterial small subunit ribosomal RNA", at positions 28 to 507 of the family's 1533-position model. The record is from RNAcentral.
GACGAACGCUGGCGGCGUGCCUAACACAUGCAAGUCGAACGGAAAGGCCCUGCUUUUGUGGGGUGCUCGAGUGGCGAACGGGUGAGUAACACGUGAGUAACCUGCCCUUGACUUUGGGAUAACUUCAGGAAACUGGGGCUAAUACCGGAUAGGAGCUCCUGCUGCAUGGUGGGGGGUGGAGAGUUUGGGCGGUUGGGGAUGGACUCGCGGCUUAUCAGCUUGUGGGUGGGGUAGUGGCUUACCAAGGCUUUGACGGGUAGCCGGCCUGAGAGGGUGACCGGCCACAUUGGGACUGAGAUACGGCCCAGACUCCUACGGGAGGCAGCAGUGGGGAAUAUUGCACAAUGGGCGGAAGCCUGAUGCAGCAACGCCGCGUGCGGGAUGACGGCCUUCGGGUUGUAAACCGCUUUCGCCUGUGACGAAGCGUGAGUGACGGUAAUGGGUAAAGAAGCACCGGCUAACUACGUG